AUUGAACGCUGGCGGCAGGCCUAACACAUGCAAGUCGAACGAGUGGCGGACGGGUGAGUAAUGUCUGGGAAACUGCCUGAUGGAGGGGGAUAACUACUGGAAACGGUAGCUAAUACCGCAUACCAUCAGAUGUGCCCAGAUGGGCUUAGCUAGUUGGUGGGGUAACGGCUCACCAAGGCGACGAUCCCUAGCUGGUUUGAGAGGAUGACCACACACACUGGAAUUGCGACACGUUCCAGACUCCUACGGGAGGCAGCAGUGGGGAAUAUUGCAAAAUGGGCGCAAGCCUGAUGCAGCCAUGCCGCUUGUAUGAAGAAGGCCUUCGGGUUGUAAAGUACUUUCAGCGGGGAGGCGUUACCCGCAGAAGAAGCACCGGCUAACUCCGUGCCAGCAGCCGCGUUAAUAC
Molecule: ribosomal RNA, 406 nt
Filed under: uncultured bacterium
Lineage: Bacteria
Description: partial 16S ribosomal RNA
Rfam family: Bacterial small subunit ribosomal RNA
Source: RNAcentral